This 1367-nucleotide ribosomal RNA is filed under the name Campylobacter coli. Its description in RNAcentral is "bacterial SSU rRNA". It matches the Rfam family "Bacterial small subunit ribosomal RNA". The record is from RNAcentral. Lineage: Bacteria; Pseudomonadati; Campylobacterota; Epsilonproteobacteria; Campylobacterales; Campylobacteraceae.
CGAACGAUGAAGCUUCUAGCUUGCUAGAAGUGGAUUAGUGGCGCACGGGUGAGUAAGGUAUAGUUAAUCUGCCCUACACAAGAGGACAACAGUUGGAAACGACUGCUAAUACUCUAUACUCCUGCUUAACACAAGUUGAGUAGGGAAAGUUUUUCGGUGUAGGAUGAGACUAUAUAGUAUCAGCUAGUUGGUAAGGUAAUGGCUUACCAAGGCUAUGACGCUUAACUGGUCUGAGAGGAUGAUCAGUCACACUGGAACUGAGACACGGUCCAGACUCCUACGGGAGGCAGCAGUAGGGAAUAUUGCGCAAUGGGGGAAACCCUGACGCAGCAACGCCGCGUGGAGGAUGACACUUUUCGGAGCGUAAACUCCUUUUCUUAGGGAAGAAUUCUGACGGUACCUAAGGAAUAAGCACCGGCUAACUCCGUGCCAGCAGCCGCGGUAAUACGGAGGGUGCAAGCGUUACUCGGAAUCACUGGGCGUAAAGGGCGCGUAGGCGGAUUAUCAAGUCUCUUGUGAAAUCUAAUGGCUUAACCAUUAAACUGCUUGGGAAACUGAUAGUCUAGAGUGAGGGAGAGGCAGAUGGAAUUGGUGGUGUAGGGGUAAAAUCCGUAGAUAUCACCAAGAAUACCCAUUGCGAAGGCGAUCUGCUGGAACUCAACUGACGCUAAGGCGCGAAAGCGUGGGGAGCAAACAGGAUUAGAUACCCUGGUAGUCCACGCCCUAAACGAUGUACACUAGUUGUUGGGGUGCUAGUCAUCUCAGUAAUGCAGCUAACGCAUUAAGUGUACCGCCUGGGGAGUACGGUCGCAAGAUUAAAACUCAAAGGAAUAGACGGGGACCCGCACAAGCGGUGGAGCAUGUGGUUUAAUUCGAAGAUACGCGAAGAACCUUACCUGGGCUUGAUAUCCUAAGAACCUUUUAGAGAUAAGAGGGUGCUAGCUUGCUAGAACUUAGAGACAGGUGCUGCACGGCUGUCGUCAGCUCGUGUCGUGAGAUGUUGGGUUAAGUCCCGCAACGAGCGCAACCCACGUAUUUAGUUGCUAACGGUUCGGCCGAGCACUCUAAAUAGACUGCCUUCGUAAGGAGGAGGAAGGUGUGGACGACGUCAAGUCAUCAUGGCCCUUAUGCCCAGGGCGACACACGUGCUACAAUGGCAUAUACAAUGAGACGCAAUACCGCGAGGUGGAGCAAAUCUAUAAAAUAUGUCCCAGUUCGGAUUGUUCUCUGCAACUCGAGAGCAUGAAGCCGGAAUCGCUAGUAAUCGUAGAUCAGCCAUGCUACGGUGAAUACGUUCCCGGGUCUUGUACUCACCGCCCGUCACACCAUGGGAGUUGAUUUCACUCGAAGCCGGAAUACUAAACUAG